CGGGUCUAAGCUGGGGGCAGGCCUCUUCUUAAAUACCCUCAUUCCGGCUUCUCCCUCCGAGGUUCACAGCCCCGCCUCGGCACUGGGGCCAAUCAAACCACAGGUUGCUGAAGCUCGGGGCCAAUGCACAGGGCUGUCCUUAAUUCCUCUCUACGGUUUGAAACUGUCAGGUUGCGGCCCAGCUGCCCGGUGUGUUUGCGGUUUGCUUAGCGGCGACGCGUAUUUGUGCAGAAUGUCAUCAGAUGAGGAGAAAUGUUCACUUCCAGUAUUGCCACAUGACUCUGAUCAAGGCAGUUCUGUCUCUUCAGAUCUUCAGGUAGGAAGAAAUAUCUAAAUUUGUCAUCACUUUUUUAUUUUAAAGAGUUGAUGAUAUGAAAGAAAACUAGGAAUACGUUUUUCAUUCAUACAUUCCAUUUACAAAGGAGUCUUUCAAUUUAUAAUAGUAUCAAACUUUGGAAAUUAUCUUACACUCUUUUACCCUUUUAGGACAAAAUCAUGACCUCUUUAAACACUUUGUACAAGGGCUUCAAACAAAACACAGUAAGAGGAGAAGUUGAAAAUUUCUAGACAUU
This 572-nucleotide long non-coding RNA is filed under the name Dasypus novemcinctus (nine-banded armadillo). Its description in RNAcentral is "lncRNA (ENSDNOG00000052447.1)". The record is from RNAcentral. Lineage: Eukaryota; Metazoa; Chordata; Mammalia; Cingulata; Dasypodidae.